GCCUCCGUAGCUCAACGGACAGAGCAGUGGACUUCUAAUCCAAAGGUUGCGGGUUCGAGUCCCGCCGGGGGCA
RNAcentral lists this transfer RNA (73 nucleotides) under Bifidobacteriaceae bacterium. RNAcentral's name for it is "tRNA-Arg". It matches the Rfam family "tRNA". Rfam says of the family: Transfer RNA (tRNA) molecules are approximately 80 nucleotides in length. The record is from RNAcentral. Lineage: Bacteria; Bacillati; Actinomycetota; Actinomycetes; Bifidobacteriales; Bifidobacteriaceae.